Glycine soja is the source of this 2410-nucleotide long non-coding RNA. RefSeq lists it as uncharacterized. The transcript has 7 exons. Lineage: Eukaryota; Viridiplantae; Streptophyta; Magnoliopsida; Fabales; Fabaceae. The record is from RefSeq and is a predicted model, not a curated record.
AAACUUUAUAUUUCACUUUGGUGCCAUCUAUCUUGAUUAAAAGCAUAUUUUUCAACUUUAAUUCAUUUUCAAAAUUGAGAGGCUAACCAUUAAACAUUUUAUCUUAACUAAUCUUGAAGCUUAUCAAUGCAUAUUUCUUUGAGCCACUCAGUAUGAAUAAUGAAUUUAGCUUAGCCAUUGCCCACUGUGUUGUGCUUUAGAAAAUGUUAGACUGGAGAUGCUAUACUGUCUAAGAAUCUUUAUUUCUCAUGUUGUCAUUCUAAACCGAAAUACCGGUUGUGCCAAUGAAGUGGCAAAUCAUGUCUUAUAAAAUUAGAUGCAGAGAUUUGCCCUGUUUUUGCAUUUUGUUGAAUGGUUUCCAUCCAAUUUAUUCUUCUUAUAAUGGUUGUGAUUUUUAUGUUGGACAUCUACAGGCUGCCAAAGAAGCAAGGCAUGAUAAGGAGGCUCUGGUGAAAUUUUUCUGCAUGUUGAUCAGGAGAAGAUAUUUCUCAGAUGAAAUACAAAUACCUUCACCAGCAUGGUCCAUUCCUUCUGUUCAGAGACAAGCUCAGCGUAUAGAUGAAAAUUUCACAGAAGAUGAUCAAUCUUAUAAUACAAGGCUAAGGUGAUUAAGGAAUAUCCAAGGCAUCACUGAAGUACAACGUUGAUGACCUUAAUGGCAGCAAUACAAGCCACAGUCUAUGCCUUCUGUUUUGAGACAGAUUUGAGUCAAUGGAAGUUGGGUUCAGGGAAUUGUGGCCAUUGGAUUAGUGAACAUUGCCACUUCAUGGUGUGUACGGAACAGAGGUCCAUUGUUUGCAUCUAUUUUCUACCCCUUUUGCCUUGUACUCGUGACUUUUGCUAGUUUCCUGUUAUUAGAAGAGCACCUAUACUUAGGAAGAAAAAUUGUUGGCAAGUGAUAACUUUUGUAUAAGAGUACCAGAAGUACAGCUACAGUGCAGUGGAGACUACCUGUCCAAUUAACGACACUCAGAACUAUCAGAGGAAUAUUUGAGAUUAAAAGCAAGGGAACCUACUCAGGGAAAAUCUUGCCCAAAUGAAUACAAAUGAGCUUGAGCUGCUGAAGAAUCAACUGGAGGCAGCACUAAGGAAUAUUAGGUCAACAAUUGUAAGCUUCAAUUUCAAUAAUCAACAUUCUAUGUUAGUUUGCACUUCUCAAAGAUCAGUUUUAUUGCAAAAGAAAAGGAACUUUUGGGGAUGUUUAAUUAUUUCUAAAGUAUAUUACUCUUGUUAAAUUUCUUGAUUAGUUAGCUUGGAUUAAUUAGUGUUCUUUCCCUUUACAAAUGCUUUUGCAUCUCUUUUCUUUUAUGUUUUCUCUUUUGAUAAGAAAAUAUAUUAUUUGCUACUCCAUUUCAUUAUUCUAUUUUUUGUUUUUUAAAACAAAAAAUUAAGAUUACGUCAUUAUUUAAAUUCUAAGUAAAUUAUUAAAGCAUGUUGCGAAAUUAUGGAGCCAAUUAGGUGACCCAUAAGUUUAUGUUUAUUAAUUAACAGUAAGAUUUAUGUCGAUAUUAUUUUCAUUGAUUUUUUUAAAAAUGUUAUGAUUUUUAUCUACUCAUGUGUGUGUGUUAAUUUAUACUUUUAUAGUAUUUUUUUUAUUAAAAUCAUCAUAAUCUCAAGAAUGAUAUUAAAUAACCUGAUAUUAUGCAAUUUUUUUUUGUCUAAAAACAAGUAUACUUCAUAAAGUAAUGUCAGUAUAGAGCUUAAACUAUUAAUUAUUGUAGUUUGAAAUAUAGUUGUCACUGGAAAAUUUUAUUUUAACUUCAAUUAGAUUUGUAACAAAAAAUAAUAAAUGAAUCCAAUGGAAAAAUGUAUUUUUAUAUUUUUAAUUUUUAAAAGAGGAACAAUUUUAGUUUUUUUUAGCCAGACAUAGCCGGGUAAGAUAACUAGUUAUAAUUACAAGGAUAUAACUAUAGAAUAUAUAUUAAGAAGCUAAGAAUUUUCAGAAGCAAAAAGAAAAAAAAAAAAAAAAGGAAGCUAAGAAUUUUCUUUGGUAAUGAUCCAAAUGCAUUUACUAGUCUAAGCUACCUACCUUGCCAAUGUUACAAUUAUUACUUCCUAUACCCUUUUUUCUCUCUAUCAUGGUAUGUUUUAGAAUCUAUUAUCAGCAAGGAAACGAUGAGUAGCGCCACCUUUAAGGUUGCUGUGUUGGGAAGUGGAAGUAGUGCCUCCUUCGGUUAGCAAGUCUGAAGUGUUACGUCUGGUUCAAGAGUGGAAAUCAAGGGGUUUCGUAGCUAAAUGGAAAUAGAAGUUUGCCUCGUUUGAUUUUCACACCCUUAAAUUCAACAACAUAGAACAGGUUGACAAGUAAUAUUUGUAUGCUUAAAUUGCUUUCUGCAGUAUAAAUGGUGUAUAUUCUUUAUGCAGUGUAAUUGCUUGAUUGGAUCUUAUUAUCACAGUGUAUCUUCCUCUA